CCAGCUCCUUGAAAAAUCUGCCACUUGGACCUGAUACACAUUACAUCGAGCUGAUGUCUUAUUAAAAGAUUGGGAAGAAAAAGCUAUUUUAUUCUAAGCUUUCAGUUUUGAAGCACCUCUCUAUGCGAUUCGGUGGCAGCUUUUACGAUUGCAUUGCACUUUCUGUUAGAAUUGUGCUUGUUCAUGCGGAAUGCAGCAACGAGCAAAAUCAUCAUUUGCCCCGGGGUCAAUGAAAUAAAACGCAAUUGCUGUACCCUCCACCAGCACCAGCGCCAGCUCCAAUUGCAAAGGUAAGCGGAUUUAUAAGCGCUGUCGGCAGACACAGAGAGUGACACAAAGAGAGCGAGAUUGACAGAGAGAGCAGUAACAGCACCGAUCGGAGCGUAAGAAACAGCGUCGAGUGCUGAACGAGAGAGGCUGAUUGACGAUUGCCAACAAACAUACACAUACACACACACGCACACAUAAGAAGGCAAACAAACCGGCGAUGCGAAGCAAAGCAAAGCAAAGGCAGUGAAGGCAGCAGACAUUCGAAGCGGUUAGCCGUUCAGUGUGACAGUGAACGUCGUACGGUCGUUGUGUUAUGGCAGCAGACGCAACAGAAGCAAAAAACCAAAACAGAAACAACGGCAACAAGCAACCGUAAUAGUUGUGCGAAAAAAAAGGCUAGCAAACAGCGUAUAAACUGUGUGACAAUAGCAACAACAGCAGCUACAGCAGCAAUAGCAGCAGCAUCAACAGCAAAGAGCAACUGCAACUACCACUACAAGUGCAAGCAGAGCAACAAGUUGUCCACCACCUGAGAUCUAUAUUCAACACAAAAACAAAAACAAAAUA
Long non-coding RNA from Drosophila navojoa, 837 nucleotides. RefSeq lists it as uncharacterized. The record is from RefSeq and is a predicted model, not a curated record. Lineage: Eukaryota; Metazoa; Arthropoda; Insecta; Diptera; Drosophilidae.